Molecule: long non-coding RNA, 283 nt
Organism: Aedes aegypti (yellow fever mosquito)
Lineage: Eukaryota; Metazoa; Arthropoda; Insecta; Diptera; Culicidae
Exons: 2
Source: RefSeq, a predicted model, not a curated record
UCCCACCGGUGUAGCAAAAGUUGCACCCAAACCGUUCUUUUAUUCCGCAGGUAGCACACCGUUUUUACACUCGAUUGCCACCGGUGCAGAAAAUCCUACACCCUGAUCGAGCUGGGUGUAGCAGCAAAUCAUGAAUAACAGAAACAGCUGUUCUAUCUGUUUGAAGAAUGACAUUUUGUUUUGAUUGACGCCUUCACUAAUACUAUCAUACGCUGUCAAAAUAUUGCACCGAAACCGUUCUAUUUUCCGGUGUCAAUUGUUACACUCGCACGGUGCACCGUCG